CGGGAGUUUGGGCUCCUGGAGUGAGGACAGAAGCUGUGAAAGAAGAUGAAGAGCGCAAGGGAAGGCAGAGAUCAGGGGGAGGAUUCAUCAGUAAAAGUGUAAUAACAUUUUCCUGCUGAGAUCUCUCCCGCUGCCAGUUAGAAGGAAUUUGGUAUCUGAAUGCACAAUAACUCUAGUUCCGCCCACAUCCAUUUAUACAGAAAAGUAUGAAAACAAUGCCAAUUGUGUCCCUUUGCCAUGCCAUCCUGCCUUGGGACCAGCAAUUAUGGAGUGAAACCUCUAUAUACUGUAAGCCAAAUAAACCUUUCCUCCUUUAACUUUAGGCUUCGGGUAUUUGGUUCCAGUGAGGAAGGUAACUAAUACACUGGGUUACUUUCAAGCAGCAUAAUAAAUCACACUCUCAAUAGUGUUGUACCAAAAGUUCCCAUUUCCACAGCAUUUUCUCUAAUUUUGUAGAAAAUUUUAAUUUCCUCCUAUAAUUACCUUUCAAAUCCUUUGGUCCUUUCCUAGAAGAUUAUCGUUUUAUGUUUGUAGGGGUUAUCACUUACACAUGGAAAUUAACCAUCUAUCAUAUUAUGGAACAAAUGUUUUCUGCCAGUCACUUACUGUUUUAUAAUAAUUUAGUCAUACAGAUUUAUAAAAUUCGCACAUGGUCAAUUCUGUCAAUUACUUUGGUUUUCUAUCUUGCCAAAAAGAUGAGGUAUAAUAAAAAAUAUGGUGAAUUAAAAAUGUUUUAAAAGUGUAUUAAAGGAUAUAUUGCUACAAAUUCUCAUCAAAACACUUUCCCUUCCUUUGAACAGAUCCAUCCCACUGGUUUUGCUACUUUCUGAAGUAGUUCUGAAUAGGAGUCCUUUUAUGAAUGUCUUUAGUUGUGCUGUUGAGGAUGCCUGUAUGUCCUGAACAUAUAUAUACCUGUUAUGUUCAUUUUGAUUUGGAGAAAGAGCAAAGUCACAUGGUGCCAGAUCCAGUGAAUAAGGUGCAUGAGGGCACACUGUAUGUUUUUACAAACAAGCCUGCCUUUCCCUGUAUUGGCAGCAGCAUUCACUGUAUUUAUCACAGUUCUUAAAGACAUGAAAGAAAACUUCCAGUACUGCAUCAGAAAGUGGCAAGCAUGAUAGAAAAAUUAUAUUCAAAGGAAGAGGGAAUAUUUUGAGGGGGGAUUAAUUCCAAUGUGUCUUUUACUAUAAUAAAAUUUUAAAGCAUUCACUGUAUGUUCUGAUCACACUACAUCUAUACCUGGGAUUUAAACAGUAGCAGUUUAAUGAAUUUUAUCUGAUAGACCUAGUUCAGUAUACGAAGAUAAAAUACUAUCUAGUUAGUUCUUCUGUUUCAGGCUUUCUGGAUUGGGUUACCCUCAAGAGCUCAAAGAAGAGUCAGUUAACUAAAUAGAGAGAUCAGGAUCUAUAUGUAGAAGAGUAAAAUGAAACACUGAGAAAAAUAGCAAAAUAUGAAAUAAAACACUGAGCCUUUACUUGUGCAGGACAUGAGGAAGGGACCACUUUGUGGGAUUGUUUUGAGAAUGUGAUUGGCUAAAUUAGUUCAGAAUCUAUCAGCUCUCUCGAAAGGUCAGGCAGGGAUUUGUAAAAAAAAAAAAAUCACAUGAAAUUGGAAAAUUGUGUGCCAUAUCACAGGACUCAAAUGAAAACAGGAAUACAAAGUUAUUCUAGACCUGGAUGAAAUUGCUAAACUUUUACCACUAUAAGUUCAUCUUCUUUUUCCUUUCCUUGAGGUAUUAAGGUUGGAUGGUGGAGGAGGAGUAAAUCGAAUUUGAAUAUUGUUAAAAG
Long non-coding RNA from Cavia porcellus (domestic guinea pig), 1784 nucleotides. RefSeq lists it as uncharacterized. NCBI's taxonomy places the organism in Eukaryota, Metazoa, Chordata, Mammalia, Rodentia, Caviidae. The transcript is spliced from 3 exons. The record is from RefSeq and is a predicted model, not a curated record.